CCCUUAGAUGUUCUGGGCCGCACGCGCGCUACACUGACUGGUUCAUCGAGUAUACAACCUUGACUGAUAGGUCUGGGUAAUCUUCUCAAAGCCAGUCGUGCUGGGGAUAGAUUAUUGUAAUUUUUAAUCUUCAACGAGGAAUUCCUAGUAAACGCGAGUCAUCAACUCGCAUUGAUUACGUCCCUGCCCUUUGUACACACCGCCCGUCGCACCUACCGAUUGGAUGGUCCGGUGAAGCCUCGGGAUUGUGGUUCUUGCCGCUUUAUUGUGGCGUGACCGCGAGAACUUGUCUAAACCUUAUCAUCUAGAGGAAGGUGAAGUCGUAACA
Molecule: ribosomal RNA, 328 nt
Filed under: uncultured eukaryote
Lineage: Eukaryota
Description: partial 18S ribosomal RNA
Rfam family: Eukaryotic small subunit ribosomal RNA
Source: RNAcentral